Molecule: ribosomal RNA, 251 nt
Filed under: uncultured Bordetella sp.
Lineage: Bacteria; Pseudomonadati; Pseudomonadota; Betaproteobacteria; Burkholderiales; Alcaligenaceae
Description: partial 16S ribosomal RNA
Rfam family: Bacterial small subunit ribosomal RNA
Source: RNAcentral
UACGUAGGGUGCAAGCGUUAAUCGGAAUUACUGGGCGUAAAGCGUGCGCAGGCGGUUCGGAAAGAAAGAUGUGAAAUCCCAGGGCUUAACCUUUGAACUGCAUUUUUAACUACCGGGCUAGAGUGUGUCAGAGGGAGGUGGAAUUCCACGUGUAGCAGUGAAAUGCGUAGAUAUGUGGAGGAACACCGAUGGCGAAGGCAGCCUCCUGGGAUAACACUGACGCUCAUGCACGAAAGCGUGGGGAGCAAAUA